GGCGGAAGGUGCAAGCGUUGCUCGGAAUCACUGGGCGUAAAGGGUGCGUAGGCGGCCGUGCAAGUCUGGCGUGAAAGCCCCGGGCUCAGCCCGGGAAGUGCGCUCGAAACUGCGCGGCUCGAGUGCCGGAGGGGAGAGUGGAAUUCCUGGUGUAGCGGUGAAAUGCGUAGAUAUCGGGAGGAACACCAGUGGCGAAGGCGACUACCUGGCCCAUUCUUGACGCUGAGGCGCGAAAGCUAGGGGAGCGAACGGG
Molecule: ribosomal RNA, 253 nt
Filed under: uncultured bacterium
Lineage: Bacteria
Description: partial 16S ribosomal RNA
Rfam family: Bacterial small subunit ribosomal RNA
Source: RNAcentral